Molecule: ribosomal RNA, 396 nt
Filed under: uncultured bacterium
Lineage: Bacteria
Description: partial 16S ribosomal RNA
Rfam family: Bacterial small subunit ribosomal RNA
Source: RNAcentral
CCUACGGGUGGCAGCAGUGAGGAAUAUUGGUCAAUGGGCGCGAGCCUGAACCAGCCAAGUCGCGUGAGGGAAGACGGUCCUAUGGAUUGUAAACUUCUUUUGUAGGGGAGCAAAAGACGCCACGUGUGGCGUUCCGAGAGUACCCGAAGAAAAAGCAUCGGCUAACUCCGUGCCAGCAGCCGCGGUAAUACGGAGGAUGCGAGCGUUAUCCGGAUUUAUAGGGUUUAAAGGGUGCGCAGGCGGAAGAUAAAGACAGCGGUAAAAUUGAGAGGCUCAACCUCGUAGCGCCGUUGAAACUGGUGUGCUUGAGUGAAGGAGAGGUAUGCGGAAUGCGUGGUGUAGCGGUGAAAUGCAUAGAUAUCACGAAGAACUCCGAUUGCGAAGGCAGCAUACCGG